GGUAAUCUCUGGAGCGAGGGUGGCUCUUUAGACUCAAACUUUGUCAAGGAGUCUGGCCUUUGUCUUAUGGCAUCCCAGAGUUAUUCAAAGCCCCUAAACAGGGCUUGUAAAUUUAAUUGAGGCAGCACCCUUGGGGGGGAAGGUCUGGAAGGGGACACACCUGGGAGCCACCAGAAAUCAACUUUCUCAACAGCUGUAGUAUUGUAUGCCUGGAUUCUGAAGAAAAGAUCUGGAUGGGACGACAAAGAAUCUACUGCAAAAGGCAAAGCCAGUUCAGCCUAAUAACAAAAUAUCCAGUAGCACUCUCAUUUCAAUUUAUCUUUCCUUGAUACCUGGACAUAAAUUCACCCUAUGUCCACUGCACCUUUGUAAUUAUUUCUUUCUUCUAGGUGUGAAGCCACCAUUUCUUCUUGAAUCUCUCUGGGGAUGAGGAUGCCUACGAUGUUCUGAUGCAGUGUAUUCUAUUAUUGGGCAUCCUACUGAGAUGAAUUCUCUUUAAAAGAGCUACUUUCCAUGGCAUCCAUUUGGCCAAUAGAAAAUUCAUCAUGCUUACCACACCAAGUAGCAGGAAGGCAGGCUUGUCACGCUGUACCCUCCUUCCUUGCCCUAGUCUCCAGUACUGCUCCAGCUGGCCUCUAACCUCCAGAAUCCUCCCAUUAAUAUGCAGGCCCACAGAAGCCCUGGGCUCAGCCAGAGUUCAGCAGAGAAUGGGUGACCAGCAGCAGAGAGGAGCUUCCCACUCCAGGGAUGACCUGCCUGCAGAGAGGAGCCACCCACCACAUGGCUUCCUGCUCUCUGCUGAGGGCUGAACACUCAUCGUGACACUGUGGCUGCAGGAAGGAGAUACCUACAGUGGGUCUCUGAGCUGGUCUACUGCUCAAUAAAGCUCUUCUUGGUUUUGCUCAUCCUCCACUUGUCUGCGUGCCUCAUUGUUCCUGGUCACAGGACAAGAACUUGGACCGCCGAAUGGCAAGUCUAGAAGACCUGUAAUACAAACUGGUCUGAAACAUGACCCUUGCUCACCACAUGGUGGGUGAAGAGAGGGAGAGAAGAGGUUUAGCCCUUCAAGCCAGGGCUGUGGCUCUCUCUUUAAGGCCCUGUGGUUCCUGGCAACUCUGAGCUUAGGGACACCACUGCAUUUCCUGCUGCCAGCUGAGGAAGCUGCUUGCAGUGCACCUGGUCCAGCCACAGCCUUGCAGAGCUGCCCACCCGACUGUAGCAGCUAGCAUGCCUGACCAUGUGCAGUGACUGGAUCCCAUGCUUACUCGCUCACACACCCCUUACCCCUCCACGCCUGGCUCAUCCUUGGCAGGCGUGGGAUCCAGGCCCACUGCAUGAGCCAAGUGCAGCCUGGCAGGCUGAAUGGAUGGAAUGAGCUGGGCAGGCCCAAGCAAAAGUCAAGCAAAGGUGCCACUGGCCACAGAGGUUUCUGACCAGAAAAGCAACACUUCAAAGAUCCUGUAACAUUUGGAGUGUUUCCACUUUGGGGCAAUAAUAAAUAAAACUUCCAGUAAUCUCCAUUUUAUUUUUUUUGUCUUUGGUGAAUGUGUAGACUCCAUGCUCAUGGAAAUGCAUCUCCAAGUAGAAAUGGUGGGUCGUAAGAGUGGCAUAAUAUCAGCUUUAAUAGAUAUUACCAAUAAUUUUCUAAUAUGUUUUUAUCAAUAUAUCCUCUUGCCAGCAAUGUUUGAGAGUUCCAAUUGCUCUACACACUAACCAACACUUAGUAUUGUUAGUUUAUUUAAGAAAAAAGUUUUAGUCAUUCUGAUAAAUACAUGUUGGUAUCUCAUUAUGAUUUAAAUUUGCAUUUCCCUAGUGAAUAGUACUUUUUCAUAUACCUACUUGUUACUAAAAUAUCUUAUUUUCUGAAAUACUUACUUAGGACCUUCACCUAUUUUUGAAAAUUUGAUAUUUUAAUACUUAAUGUUUUGAAGAAGCUCUUUAUAUGGAAUUAGAAUAAGUACUUUUCAGAUAUUCAUAUUACAAUGUCUUUUCCAGUCUGUGACUUGCCUUUUCAUUCUUU
This 2020-nucleotide long non-coding RNA is filed under the name Homo sapiens (human). RNAcentral describes it as "HSALNT0066402". Lineage: Eukaryota; Metazoa; Chordata; Mammalia; Primates; Hominidae. The record is from RNAcentral.